RNAcentral lists this long non-coding RNA (270 nucleotides) under Ictidomys tridecemlineatus (thirteen-lined ground squirrel). RNAcentral's name for it is "lncRNA (ENSSTOG00000029832.1)". Lineage: Eukaryota; Metazoa; Chordata; Mammalia; Rodentia; Sciuridae. The record is from RNAcentral.
CCCUGGGAAAUGUAGUCGUUCUGUUCUGACGCAGUUGAAGAAGCUAUUGCUCCGUCCACAGCGAGGACAUCAAGUACCAUAAGGCCGCGGGGCGGAGAGCCUCCAUUCAACCGCUGCCAGUGACGACCCAGACGCCCUCCCACGCGCGGAUUGCGGAACCAGUGAGGCUGAGAUGGAGGGCUGGCACGGGGACAGACUAGAGUUUAUUAUCAAACCUCAAACGCCUGGGGCCAACUUGAGAUGAAGCAAUGGGAAGAGCCCAAAGAAAAG